AAAGCAGGGAUUGUGUGUAUCGGUUUUGUGCUAUUGUAAAUGCAUUCUUCCGAAAGAUUUUCCUGCAAUAUUAUCUUGAGAAAAUGGGCAGUUGUAUUUCAUUUUUUUCUAUUGAAAGUAACAACAAUCAUUUUCCCCACAUUU
Lupinus angustifolius (narrow-leaved blue lupine) is the source of this 144-nucleotide small nucleolar RNA. It matches the Rfam family "small nucleolar RNA snoR135". NCBI's taxonomy places the organism in Eukaryota, Viridiplantae, Streptophyta, Magnoliopsida, Fabales, Fabaceae. The record is from Rfam.